RNAcentral lists this long non-coding RNA (473 nucleotides) under Phoenix dactylifera (date palm). RNAcentral describes it as "long non-coding RNA (PDAC_LNC015884)". The record is from RNAcentral. Lineage: Eukaryota; Viridiplantae; Streptophyta; Magnoliopsida; Arecales; Arecaceae.
ACAGAUCUAUCGAAGUUGACCUUAAGAAAACUCGAAGGUGGGGGGCUUUCAGAUGAAAAACACUUUAUGAAAUGCUACCGAAGCAGAAUGGAAACCUCGGAUAUUUCGAUCUGUCAAGGUCCCUUUGAUAAAUAUGAUAAGAUGGAGCUCCGCUGCCUGCACACGAGCUUUUGAUAAUGCAAACCAUUGAGUUAAACAUAUCAUUUUACGAAAAGAAAAUUGAUAAUGUAAUGAUGUUAAUUCCUUUUAAAAUUUAUGAAAAUUAUAUGAGACUAAACAAAAAUGAAAACGAAUAUAUAUAUACACAAUACAGACAUACAGACAUACAUACAGACAUACAUACAUACGUACAGACAUACAUACAUACAUACAUACAUACAUACAUACAUACAUACAUACAGAAUACAUACAUACAGACAUACAGACAUACACACACACACACACAUACAUACAGACACACAUACAUACAUACA